This is a non-coding RNA of Acomys russatus (golden spiny mouse), 73 nucleotides long. Lineage: Eukaryota; Metazoa; Chordata; Mammalia; Rodentia; Muridae. The record is from the annotation of a RefSeq genome assembly.
GCCUGGCUAGCUCGGUUAGUAGAGCAUGAGACUCUUAAUCUCAGGGACGUGGGUUCGAGCUCCACGUUGGGCA